CUGGUUGAUCCUGCCAGUAGUCAUAUGCUUGUCUCAAAGAUUAAGCCAUGCAUGUCUAAGUCCAAGCUGUGUCUUGACACGGCGAGACCGCGGACGGCUCAUUAAAUCAGUCGUUGUCCAAAUGGGCCAGUACUCAGUACUUGGAUAACUGUGGUAAUUCCAGAGCUAAUACAUGCAACUCAUACUCCGAGGAGAUGUCUCACGACUGACCCGACGAGUGCUUUUAUUAGACCAAGCCGCUGGGGCCUUCUUUACGGGGGGCCUAACUGGCAGUGUGGUGACUCUGGAUAACCUGUUUUUGACAAGCGCACGUACCUCUUCGUGAGGACGGCGCUGCCACUUUCGAGUGUCUGCCUUAUCAGCUGUCAACCGCUCGCUACACGCGACCGAUGGCUUUGACGGGUAACGGGGAAUCAGGGUUCGAUUCCGGAGAGGCAGCCUGAGAGACGGCUACCACGUCCAAGGACGGCAGCAGGCACGCAAAUUACCCAAUCCCAGCACAUCCUGGGGGAGGUAGUGACGAAACAUAACGAAGCGUGCGCCCUUCGCGGGUCUCGCUAUCGGAAUGAGCACUUUUCUAAACACCCUGUUGAGAACCUACUGAAGGGCAAGUCUGGUGCCAGCAGCCGCGGUAAUUCCAGCUUCAGUAGCAUAUAUUAAAGUUGCUGCGGUUAAAAGGCUCGUAGUUGAAUGUCUGUUCCGGGUCGCGGCAGGUGGACGAUGGAGAUGUGCUGUUGCUGCCCUCGUGGUUAGCACACACACACGCUCCCGUCCGUUAACACCCUCCGCGCUCGCGUACAAGAAGGCGUCUACGCGGUGCAGGGUCGCGGGGCUCCUUCGGGGGUCUCGUCUUUGUACCGAGUGACGCUGGUGUCACCCUGAGUAAAUCAGAGUGCUCAAAGCAGUCGUAUGGGGUUUUGCCCUUUUAACACACGGAGUGUGGCCACGCUUCCUUGUGUCGUGUGUGUCAUGCUCUUAGAGGAUGGACUUGGUUUUGCAUGGUAUGUCGGAAUACGACGUCGGGCGCUGGCUAAAGGUUGUAACAGUGGUAUAAGCCAGCCUUGACGUAAUGAUUAAAAGGGCUUGUCGAGGGCAUUGGUAUUGCGAAGCGAGAGGUGAAAUUCUAUGACCUUCGCAAGACCUCCUGAAGCGAAAGCGUCUGCCAAGGAUGUUUUCAUUAAUCAUGAACGAAAGUUAGAGGAUCGAAGGCGAUCAGAUACCGCCCUAGUUCUAACCCUAAACGAUGCCAACCAUCAAUCCGUCGAGCACCCUUCUUGACGGGCUCGACGGGCGGCUCCUUUUUCACGGGAAACCAGAGUCUCUGGGUUCCGGGGGGAGUCUGGUUGCAAAGCUGAAACUUAAAGGAAUUGACGGAAAGGCACCACCAGGCGUGGAGCCUGCGGCUUAAUUUGACUCAACACGGGCAAUCUCACCAGGCCAGGACUCUAGAAUGAUUGACAGAUUGAGAGCUCUUUCUCGAUUUAGUGGAUGGUGGUGCAUGGCCGUUCUUAGUUGGUGGAGUGAUCUGUCUGGUUAAUUCCGAUAACGAACGAGACUCUCCCCUGCUAACUAGUCGGUUGGAUCUUGAUCUGCGUGUCGCAUGGUCACACUCGCCGUGAUUCUGCUUCCCAGCUUUCUUGCGCUUGUGUGCGUGGUCUUUCGCUCUUGCAGUGGGAGGUCGUGUGUGCUUGUGUGUGGAUUGUGUUCGGGGGUCUUCGCGUGCGGGAGUGUACCUGCACUCCAAGUCCGCCGGCCCUUCAUGGGUCUUAAAGAUUUCUUCUUAGAGGGAUCAACGGCUCUGAAGCCGUCAGAGACUGAGAGCAAUAACAGGUCUGUGAUGCCCUUAGAUGCUCUGGGCCGCACGCGCGCUACAUGCUGGGCACACAGGUAUUUCUUCCUGCUCCGAGAGGAGCGGGUAACCCUCUGAAAGCUCUUUUGCUAUUGUCCUCUCUUCCUGUGCGUCGGUGCUUCGUGUGCUGGCGUUGCAGGGGAGAGCAGCGUGCUUGGGCCUGGGGCUUGCAAUUAUUCCCCACAAACGAGGAAUGCCUAGUAGCGGUGGGUCACUGAGCCCGCCGUGACUCAGUCCCUGCCCUUUGUACACACCGCCCGUCGCUACUACCGAUUGGGUGUACCAGUGAGAGCCUUGGACUGGCCGAGCCGCCCCACAAAGGCGGUCUCUGGACUGAAAGAGGUCCGAACUGGUGCACUUAGAGGAAGUAAAAGUCGUAACAAGGUUUCCGUAGGUGAACCUGCGGAAGGAUCAUUA
Molecule: ribosomal RNA, 2266 nt
Filed under: Caprogammarus gurjanovae
Lineage: Eukaryota; Metazoa; Arthropoda; Malacostraca; Amphipoda; Caprogammaridae
Description: bacterial SSU rRNA
Rfam family: Eukaryotic small subunit ribosomal RNA
Source: RNAcentral